RNAcentral lists this long non-coding RNA (288 nucleotides) under Setaria viridis. Its description in RNAcentral is "long non-coding RNA (SVIR_LNC002508)". Lineage: Eukaryota; Viridiplantae; Streptophyta; Magnoliopsida; Poales; Poaceae. The record is from RNAcentral.
CAUGAGGUAAUGGCAGCGAGCAAUUUCAGGCGCGAGAGGUGGACACAAGGACGGAGGGAGAAAGGGCAAGCUUCAAGCUUGCCAUGGAUCACGCGCAAUGCAUGGGCCGCUAGGACAAUUACCGAACGAAUAGCAGCACAAGCCGGCCGGGUCUGCCAAAACUAUGAUAGACGAAAGAGCAGGAAACUGGGAAACUGCAUCAAAGUGAAGCAAUAACAGCGAUACUAGUGAUGCUCCUCAGGAAGAGAGCAGCAGGACGUCCACCAGAUCAUAUCUUAUCUACUCUAU